This 167-nucleotide ribosomal RNA is filed under the name uncultured bacterium. Its description in RNAcentral is "partial 16S ribosomal RNA". It matches the Rfam family "Bacterial small subunit ribosomal RNA", at positions 352 to 511 of the family's 1533-position model. The record is from RNAcentral.
CAGUAGGGAAUCUUCCACAAUGGACGAAAGUCUGAUGGAGCAACGCCGCGUGAGUGAAGAAGGGUUUCGGCUCGUAAAACUCUGUUGUUAAAGAAGAACAUAUCUGAGAGUAACUGUUCAGGUAUUGACGGUAUUUAACCAGAAAGCCACGGCUAACUACGUGCCAU